RNAcentral lists this ribosomal RNA (255 nucleotides) under Planctomycetota bacterium. RNAcentral's name for it is "Planctomycetes bacterium (anaerobic digester metagenome) partial 16S ribosomal RNA". It matches the Rfam family "Bacterial small subunit ribosomal RNA", at positions 1278 to 1533 of the family's 1533-position model. The record is from RNAcentral. Lineage: Bacteria; Pseudomonadati; Planctomycetota.
AAAAACGGCCCCAGUUCGGAUUGGAGUCUGCAACUCGACUCCAUGAAGUUGGAAUCGCUAGUAAUCGCGUAUCAGCUACGACGCGGUGAAUGUGUUCCUGAGCCUUGUACACACCGCCCGUCAAGUCAUGGGAGCUGGUAGCACCCGAAGUCGUGUCGAUUCAGACAUGCCGAAGGUGAGAUCGGUGACUGGGACUAAGUCGUAACAAGGUAGCCGUAGGGGAACCUGCGGCUGGAUCACCUCCUUUCUAGAGGA